RNAcentral lists this ribosomal RNA (433 nucleotides) under uncultured bacterium. Its description in RNAcentral is "partial 16S ribosomal RNA". It matches the Rfam family "Bacterial small subunit ribosomal RNA", at positions 29 to 507 of the family's 1533-position model. The record is from RNAcentral.
AACGAACGCUGGCGGCAUGCCUAACACAUGCAAGUCGAACGAGAACUUCGGGUCUUGUGGCGCACGGGUGCGUACCGCGUGGGAACUUGCCCUUAGGUUCGCAAUACCUCACCGUAAGGGGUGCUAAUACCGGUUAAUGUCUUCGGACCAAAGAUUUAUCGCCUUUGGCUGGGCCCGCGUUGGAUUCGCUAGUUGGUAGGGUAAAAGCCUACCAAGGCGACGAUCCUUAGCUGGUCUGAGAGGAGGAUCAGCCACACUGGGACUAAGGCACGGCCCAGAAUCCUAGGGAAGGGAGGAGAGGAGAAUAUUGGAGGAGGGGGGAAGGCCUGAUCCAGCAAGGCCGGGUAAGUGAUGAAGGCCGUAGGGAUGUAAAGCUCUUUGACCCGGGAUGAUAAUGACAGUACCGGGAGAAUAAGCACCGGCUAACUCCGUG